AGUCUUAUUCCACUGCGAUACGCAGCAGUCAGUUGACCACAGAGGAUUUUAUAAAGGAGAAGAGAGACCAGCAUAGGGCAGAGAUACAUCAAACCCACCUCUCACCGGAGACACCAGUCCCUUGCUUGCCUCUGUCGCUAAGCCCAGAACAUGCCCUGCAGCUGCUCCUCUGGAGGCCAUCUCCCAGCCACAGGCCUCCACUGCUCCACUUUAAUUAAUCUGGGUGGCUGAAAGUGUUUUAACCCAAGUAACUUAAGACAUGAAUUAAUAGUGAAUUUAUUUCCUCUAGGAUAGAACCAGACUUUAUCAGUAAACUGUAACUUUUUUAGAAGCAAAGAAAAAAAGGUUACUACAUCUAGUUAAAUUCACUUCCGAUUGGUUGAAACAUAAGGGAGGGGCUGGGCGGGGUGGCUCACACCUGUAAUCGAGCACUUUGGGAGGCCAAGGCAGGUGGAUCACUUGAGACCAGGAGUUCGAGACCAGCCUGGCCAACAUGGUGAAACCUUGUCUCUACUAAAAUAUAGAAAUUAGCUGGGCAUGGUGGCACAUGCUUGUAAUCCCAGCUACUUGGGAGGGAAAGCUCUUUUGGUUAACAGCAUAUUUACAAUUAGUUAACUGUAUUCUUAAAUACUUUUAACCUGAGUAACAUUUAUAAAUAUGUUAU
Molecule: non-coding RNA, 664 nt
Filed under: Pongo abelii (Sumatran orangutan)
Lineage: Eukaryota; Metazoa; Chordata; Mammalia; Primates; Hominidae
Source: RNAcentral